UUUUUGGUGACCGCUGCGGCUUUCUUAACACAUGCAAGUCGAGGGGUAACAUUGGUGCUUGCACCAGAUGACGACCGGCGCACGGGUGAGUAACGCGUAUACAAUCUACCUAUUACUGGGGUAUAGCCCGGAGAAAUUUGGAUUAACCCCCCAUGGUAUGUAAAAGUGGCAUCACUUUUACAUUAAAAUUACGGUGGUAAUAGAUGAGUAUGCGUUCCAUUAGUUAGUUGGUAAGGUAACGGCUUACCAAGGCAGCGAUGGGUAGGGGUCCUGAGAGGGAGAUCCCCCACACUGGUACUGAGACACGGACCAGACUCCUACGGGAGGCAGCAGUGAGGAAUAUUGGACAAUGGAGGCAACUCUGAUCCAGCCAUGCCGCGUGCAGGAAGACUGCCCUAUGGGUUGUAAACUGCUUUUACAGAGGAAGAACCGCACCCACGUGUGGGUGUUUGACGGUACUCUGCGAAUAAGGAUCGGCUAACUCCGUGCCAGCAGCCGCGGUAAUACGGAGGAUCCAAGCGUUAUCCGGAAUCAUUGGGUUUAAAGGGUCCGUAGGCGGGACAAUAAGUCAGUGGUGAAAGUCUGCACUUAACUGUAGAACUGCAUUGGAACUGUAGUCCUUUGAGUAUUAUGAA
This 635-nucleotide ribosomal RNA is filed under the name uncultured Antarctic soil bacterium. RNAcentral's name for it is "bacterial SSU rRNA". It matches the Rfam family "Bacterial small subunit ribosomal RNA", at positions 23 to 656 of the family's 1533-position model. The record is from RNAcentral.